RNAcentral lists this ribosomal RNA (465 nucleotides) under uncultured bacterium. Its description in RNAcentral is "SSU rRNA". It matches the Rfam family "Bacterial small subunit ribosomal RNA", at positions 26 to 518 of the family's 1533-position model. The record is from RNAcentral.
AGGAUAAACGCUGGCGGCGUGCAUGAGACAUGCAAGUCAUACGGGCGAGCUUGCUCGCUAGUGGCGGACGGCUGAGUAACGCGUAGGUGACCUACCCCGAAGUGGGGAAUAACUGCCCGAAAGGGUGGCUAAUACCGCAUGUGGUGGUUCGUUCGUUCGGAUCAUCAAAGCAGUAAUGCGCUUCGGGAGGGGCCUGCGUCCGAUUAGCUCGUUGGUGGGGUAACGGCUCACCAAGGCGACGAUUGGUAGGUGGUCUGAGAGGGUGUCCGGCCACACUGGGACUGAGAUACGGCCCAGACUCCUACGGGAGGCAGCAGUGGGGAAUAUUGCACAAUGGGCGCAAGCCUGAUGCAGCGACGCCGCGUGGGGGAUGACGGCCUUCGGGUUGUAACCCCUUUCAGUAGGACGAAGCGCAGUGACGGUACCUACAGAAGAAGCACCGGCCAACUACGUGCCAGCAGCCGC